Molecule: ribosomal RNA, 253 nt
Filed under: uncultured bacterium
Lineage: Bacteria
Description: partial 16S ribosomal RNA
Rfam family: Bacterial small subunit ribosomal RNA
Source: RNAcentral
UACGUAGGGUGCGAGCGUUAAUCGGAAUUACUGGGCGUAAAGCGUGCGCAGGCGGUUUUGUAAGCCCGAUGUGAAAGCCCCGGGCUUAACCUGGGAAUGGCAUUUGGGACUGCAAGGCUGGAGUGUGGCAGAGGAGACUGGAAUUCCUGGUGUAGCAGUGAAAUGCGUAGAUAUCAGGAGGAAUACCGAUGGCGAAGGCAGGUCUCUGGGCUAACACUGACGCUCAUGCACGAAAGCGUGGGGAGCAAACAGG